Molecule: ribosomal RNA, 311 nt
Filed under: uncultured bacterium
Lineage: Bacteria
Description: bacterial SSU rRNA
Rfam family: Bacterial small subunit ribosomal RNA
Source: RNAcentral
GUGUCAGCCGCCGCGGUAAUACAGAGGGCGCGAGCGUUGUCCGGAAUCACUGGGCGUAAAGGGCGCGUAGGUGGCGGCAUAAGGCCGCGGUGAAAGUUCGGGGCUCAACCCUGAAUCGGCCGCGGCGACUGUGUCGCUUGGGCACUGUAGAGGCAGAUGGAAUUCCGGGUGUAGCGGUGGAAUGCGUAGAGAUCCGGAAGAACACCGGUGGCGAAGGCGGUCUGCUGGGCAGUGGAGUCGCAAGACUCUUUUAGCCGACACUGAGGCGCGACAGCGUGGGGAGCAAACAGGAUUAGAAACCCGCGUAGUCC